CGACCGGCGCACGGGUGAGUAACACGUAUCCAACCUGCCGUCUACUCUUGGACAGCCUUCUGAAAGGAAGAUUAAUACAAGAUGGCAUCAUGAGUCCGCAUGUUCACAUGAUUAAAGGUAUUCCGGUAGACGAUGGGGAUGCGUUCCAUUAGAUAGUAGGCGGGGUAACGGCCUACCUAGUCUUCGAUGGGUAGGGGUUCUGAGAGGAAGGUCCCCCACAUUGGAACUGAGACACGGUCCAAACUCCUACGGGAGGCAGCAUG
This 263-nucleotide ribosomal RNA is filed under the name uncultured bacterium. RNAcentral describes it as "partial 16S ribosomal RNA". It matches the Rfam family "Bacterial small subunit ribosomal RNA", at positions 92 to 353 of the family's 1533-position model. The record is from RNAcentral.